Molecule: long non-coding RNA, 1001 nt
Organism: Myxocyprinus asiaticus (Chinese sucker)
Lineage: Eukaryota; Metazoa; Chordata; Actinopteri; Cypriniformes; Catostomidae
Exons: 4
Source: RefSeq, a predicted model, not a curated record
UGAAUUACCGAUUUUGGAUUACUGUUUUGCUCUGUUUGCCUGGUUGGACUGAUUACCUGUUAACAACUACUUUGCCUGCUUCAUGACUACAUCUCUGCCUUGUGUGUUGGAUUUGUAUGCUGAUUGUAAAUAAACUUCCUGCAUUUGGAUUCUACCUUCGCCUCCAUGUCGAGUCCCUCACAGUUAGUUAAUGUCAGGCUUGUGAUCAAAAAUCUCCCUGCCUGCUGGUUAACUGCUGGGCAAAAAGGAGUAGCGGAACAUGGGGUCAGGCGCUUCAUUGUUCAUAUUCAAUACCGAGAGAGGAUCAAAGGCCAUCCAGAGAAAAGGUUGUCUCAAAGAAGACGGGCGAUUGUCCAGAAGAAAUAUUCCACAGUCAAUACACAUGUCUCCACACUUCUGAAGAACCUCAUUGACUUUGAAUGGGACUUCAUAUAGGAGCCAUUAUGACUGAAAAGGACACAUUUGUCAACACUUAGUGGUACCCUGGAAUAAAUAUGGGAGAGGAACAAGCAGCCUGGUGAUGAUCACCUUUAACGGAGGAAAAGAUUUCUCUCUAAGCAUGCACCUACCUCAAAGGACUCUUUUAUAACAUCCAACAUGUGCCUCCUUCACAGGACUCUUUAAAAAAAAAAAUUAAAUAAAAAAUAAUACAAAAAACCUGAACAAAUGUUUUUCCCCAUAUUGAUGUUCACUAUGUUCAUAAUAGUGCAGAUUAUUAAAAAUGUAAAAUUGUGUAUUUGUAAUAUUUCAACUCUCAGGUGUUUUCAUGUUUGUAAGACCUCUAUGCAAUUUAAGAUUUUUUUUUUUUUUUUUUGCCAUUGUUUCAAGCAGCAAUUUUUUACAUUUUAUUUAUUGAAAGUUUUUAUUUUGCCAUGUUUUAGAAUUUAUGUUGACUCUGCCUUUUUAAAUAAGUUUAUUUUGAUUUAUAUACUUUCUAAAGUGUUUAUUGCUUUUUAUAUAUAUAUAGAUUUUUCAAUAUAAUGUAUUAAGCAGAUGUGUGU